GAACUUUCGCUGCCCGAAUGCCAUGAAAAAAGGUCCGAGGAUAUCCAUCCCCCUUUAUGCAAACGGCCAUAGGGCACUCAAGGGUGUAAGUUUGGAGGCGGGUUGCCUUUGGAUGUUUGCAUAUCUCUGACACCGAUCACACCUUCUGACAUAUUCGAUGGAGUCGUGGGACAUGGUAGGUCAGUAAUAGCCUUGUCGGAGUAGCUUAUGGGAUAAAGAUCUACCCCCCAGGUGACUUCCGCAAACUCCCUCAUGUACCUCCCACAAGGUGAAGUCGGCUUCAGAAGGCCGGAGACAUUUCAGAAGGGGCAAAGAGUAUGAUCUCUUGUACAGCUUGCCUUCAUAAAGAAUAUAUCGGGAGGUCAGGUUCCUAAGCUUCCGAGCUUCUUUUGCAUCAGGAGGAAGAACCCUGUCCUUGAGGUACGCAACCAAUGGGUCAAUCCAGCUGGGUUCAUGGUUGAUCUCCAUCACAAGCUGUGGCUCUUCCAUAGUUGGGUACUUCAGAACUUCGAAGAAGACUUUUUUGGGCAGUUCAGCUGGAGCCAGUGUAGCCAACUUGGAGAGAAAGUCAGCCCUAGUAUUUUCGGCUCUUAGAAUCUGCUUGAUGUCAAAGCUACCGAAGGCAGGGACAAUCUAUUUUACCUUUUCGAGAUACUUGACCAUACUGUCCUCCUGAGCUUUAUAGUUUCUGCUGACUUAUCCCACCACC
Molecule: long non-coding RNA, 709 nt
Filed under: Elaeis guineensis (African oil palm)
Lineage: Eukaryota; Viridiplantae; Streptophyta; Magnoliopsida; Arecales; Arecaceae
Description: long non-coding RNA (EGUI_LNC071291)
Source: RNAcentral